GACGAACGCUGGCGGCGUGCCUAAUACAUGCAAGUUGAGCGAUGAAGAUUGGUGCUUGCACCAAUUUGAAGAGCAGCGAACGGGUGAGUAACGCGUGGGGAAUCUGCCUCUGAGCGGGGGACAACAUUUGGAAACGAAUGCUAAUACCGCAUAACAACUUUAAACAUAAGUUUUAAGUUUGAAAGAUGCAAUUGCAUCACUCAAAGAUGAUCCCGCGUUGUAUUAGCUAGUUGGUGAGGUAAAGGCUCACCAAGGCGAUGAUACAUAGCCGACCUGAGAGGGUGAUCGGCCACAUUGGGACUGAGACACGGCCCAAACUCCUACGGGAGGCAGCAGUAGGGAAUCUUCGGCAAUGGACGAAAGUCUGACCGAGCAACGCCGCGUGAGUGAAGAAGGUUUUCGGAUCGUAAAACUCUGUUGGUAGAGAAGAACGUUGGUGAGAGUGGAAAGCUCAUCAAGUGACGGUAACUACCCAGAAAGGGACGGCUAACUACGUG
RNAcentral lists this ribosomal RNA (497 nucleotides) under uncultured bacterium. RNAcentral describes it as "partial 16S ribosomal RNA". It matches the Rfam family "Bacterial small subunit ribosomal RNA", at positions 28 to 507 of the family's 1533-position model. The record is from RNAcentral.